Molecule: transfer RNA, 87 nt
Filed under: Gemmatimonadota bacterium
Lineage: Bacteria; Pseudomonadati; Gemmatimonadota
Description: Gemmatimonadetes bacterium (activated sludge metagenome) tRNA-Ser
Rfam family: tRNA
About the family: Transfer RNA (tRNA) molecules are approximately 80 nucleotides in length. Their secondary structure includes four short double-helical elements and three loops (D, anti-codon, and T loops).
Source: RNAcentral
GGCGUGGUGGCCGAGCGGUUUAAGGCAGCGGUCUUGAAAACCGCCGAACGGGCAACCGUUCCGUGAGUUCGAAUCUCACCCACGCCG